CGUAAAGCGCAUGCAGGCGGCCUGUUAAGUCAGAUGUGAAAGACCCGGGGCGUUAACCUCGGAAAUUGCAUUUGAAACUGGCAGGCUAGAGUCUUGUAGAGGGGGGUAGGAAGUUUCAGGUGUAGCGGUGAAAUGCGUAGAGAUCUGAAGGAAUACCAGUGGCGAAGGCGGCCCCCUGGACAAAGACUGACGCUCAGAUGCGAAAGCGUGGGGAGCAAACAGGAUUAGAUACCCUGGUAG
Molecule: ribosomal RNA, 240 nt
Filed under: uncultured bacterium
Lineage: Bacteria
Description: partial 16S ribosomal RNA
Rfam family: Bacterial small subunit ribosomal RNA
Source: RNAcentral